CUGGUUGAUCCUGCCAGUAGUCAUACGCUUGUCUCAAGGAUUAAGCCAUGCAUGUCUAAGUAUAAAGGAUUUAUAAUGAAACUGCAAAUGGCUCAUUCAAACAGUUAUAGUUUAUUUGAUAUUCAAGCUAAUAUUCUUAUUAGUUAAAUGGAUAACCGUAGUAAUUCUAGAGCUAAUACAUGCGUUACGGGGAACUUUACGGGACCCCAGCGUUUAUUAGAUUUAAACCAAUAUUCCGCAAGGUCUACUGAGAUGAUUCAUGAUAACUGAUCGAAUUGCUGGAACUCUAGCAAUAAAUCAUGUAGGUUUCUGCUUCCCAUCAGCUUGAUGGUAGUGUAUUGGACAACCAUGGCAUUCACGGGCUAUCGGGGGAUUAGGGUUCGAUUCCGGAGAGGGAGCCUGAUAAACGGCUACCACUUCUACGGAAGGCAGCAGGCGCGAAAAUUAUCCAAUCCUGAUUCAGGGAGGUAGUGAAAGAAAUAAUGAACUAGGAUUUAUCCUGGGAUCACAAUGGGCUUGAUUUGCAAACACUUAGCGAGGAACAAUUGGAGGGCAAGUCUGGU
Molecule: ribosomal RNA, 563 nt
Filed under: uncultured eukaryote
Lineage: Eukaryota
Description: SSU rRNA
Rfam family: Eukaryotic small subunit ribosomal RNA
Source: RNAcentral